This 492-nucleotide ribosomal RNA is filed under the name uncultured bacterium. Its description in RNAcentral is "partial 16S ribosomal RNA". It matches the Rfam family "Bacterial small subunit ribosomal RNA", at positions 29 to 507 of the family's 1533-position model. The record is from RNAcentral.
AGUGAACGCUGGCGGUAGGCCUAACACAUGCAAGUCGAACGGCAGCACAGUAAGAGCUUGCUCUUACGGGUGGCGAGUGGCGGACGGGUGAGGAAUACAUCGGAAUCUACUUUUUCGUGGGGGAUAACGUAGGGAAACUUACGCUAAUACCGCAUACGACCUACGGGUGAAAGCAGGGGAUCUUCGGACCUUGCGCGAUUGAAUGAGCCGAUGUCGGAUUCGCUGGUUGGCGGGGUAAAGGCCCACCAAGGCGACGAUCCGUAGCUGGCCUGAGAGGAUGGUCGGCCACACUGGAACUGAGACACGGUCCAUGCUCCUACGGGAGGCAGCAGUGUGGAAUAUUGGACAGUGGGCGCAAACCUUGUCCAGCCAUACCGCGUGGGUGAAGAAGGCCUUCGGGUUGUAAAGCCCUUUUGUUGGGAAAGAAAAGCAGCAGGUUAAUACCCCGCUGUUCUGACGGUACCCAAAGAAUAAGCACCGGCUAACUUCGUG